GAACGCGAAGAACCUUACCAGCCCUUGACAUGUCCAGGACCGGUCGCAGAGACGUGACCUUCUCUUCGGAGCCUGGAACACAGGUGCUGCAUGGCUGUCGUCAGCUCGUGUCGUGAGAUGUUGGGUUAAGUCCCGCAACGAGCGCAACCCCCGUCCUUAGUUGCUACCAUUUAGUUGAGCACUCUAAGGAGACUGCCGGUGAUAAGCCGCGAGGAAGGUGGGGAUGACGUCAAGUCCUCAUGGCCCUUACGGGCUGGGCUACACACGUGCUACAAUGGCGGUGACAAUGGGAUGCGAAGGGGUAACCCCUAGCAAAUCUCAAAAAGCCGUCUCAGUUCGGAUUGGGCUCUGCAACUCGAGCCCAUGAAGUUGGAAUCGCUAGUAAUCGUGGAUCAGCACGCCACGGUGAAUACGUUCCCGGGUCUUGUACACACGCA
RNAcentral lists this ribosomal RNA (437 nucleotides) under bacterium CPTAC19. Its description in RNAcentral is "bacterial SSU rRNA". It matches the Rfam family "Bacterial small subunit ribosomal RNA", at positions 957 to 1394 of the family's 1533-position model. The record is from RNAcentral.